UGGGGAAUUUUGGACAAUGGGCGCAAGCCUGAUCCAGCAAUGCCGCGUGCGGGAAGAAGGCCUUCGGGUUGUAAACCGCUUUUGGCAGGAACGAAACGGUGUCCGCUAAUACCGGGCGCUAAUGACGGUACCUGCAGAAUAAGCACCGGCUAACUACGUGCCAGCAGCCGCGGUAAUACGUAGGGUGCGAGCGUUAAUCGGAAUUACUGGGCGUAAAGCGUGCGCAGGCGGUUGCGUAAGACAGGCGUGAAAUCCCCGGGCUCAACUGGGAAUGGCGCUUGUGACUGCACGGCUGGAGUGCGGCAGAGGGGGAUGGAAUUCCGCGUGUAGCAGUGAAAUGCGUAGAUAUGCGGAGGAACACCGAUGGCGAAGGCAAUCCCCUGGGCCUGACUGAGCUCAUGCACGAAAGCGUGGGGAGCAAACAGGAUUAGAUACCCUGGUAGUCCACGCCCUAAACGAUGUUGACUGGUUGUUGGGUCUUAGGUGACUCAGUAACGAAGCUAACGCGUGAAGUCGACCGCCUGGGGAGUACGGCCGCAAGGUUGAAACUUAAAUGAAUUGA
Molecule: ribosomal RNA, 562 nt
Filed under: uncultured bacterium
Lineage: Bacteria
Description: partial 16S ribosomal RNA
Rfam family: Bacterial small subunit ribosomal RNA
Source: RNAcentral